UUCGCCACGCCCGCUACGAGAAACUUAAAGGAAUUGACGGGGCCCGGCACAAGCGGAGGAGCAUGUGGUUUAAUUCGAUGAUACGCGAGGAACCUUACCUGGGCUCGAACGUAAGAUGACUGUAGGUGAAAGCUUACAUCUCUUCGGAGCAUUUUACGAGGUGCUGCAUGGUUGUCGUCAGCUCGUGCCGUGAGGUGUCGGGUUAAGUCCCAUAACGAGCGCAACCCCUACCUUUAGUUGCCAUCAGGUAAUGCUGGGGACUCUAAAGGAACUGCCUACGCAAGUAGUGGGGAAGGCGGGGAUGACGUCAAAUCAGCACGGCCCUUACGUCCAGGGCUACACACGUGCUACAAUGGCCGAUACAGAGGGCAGCUACCUGGUGACAGGAUGCAAAUCUCCAAAGUCGGUCUCAGUUCGGAUCGGAGUCUGCAACCCGACUCCGUGAAGUUGGAUUCGCUAGUAAUCGCGCAUCAGCCAUGGCGCGGUGAAUACGUUCCCGGGCCUU
RNAcentral lists this ribosomal RNA (505 nucleotides) under uncultured Sphingobacteriales bacterium. RNAcentral's name for it is "bacterial SSU rRNA". It matches the Rfam family "Bacterial small subunit ribosomal RNA", at positions 903 to 1382 of the family's 1533-position model. Lineage: Bacteria; Pseudomonadati; Bacteroidota; Sphingobacteriia; Sphingobacteriales. The record is from RNAcentral.